CUUUCCACGUCAGUUUUAAUCUAGCGGCGUACUGCAGUACAUGAUAUAUAAGGCAUGAAGAUGUUUUUGUUACAGAUCAGCUAAAUUAUCUAUAGUAAAGGAUCCUACAAAUUAAUGUAAGAUACAGUCACAGAAAAUAAUUAUAUUUAUAAGUACGUCUGAGUCAGUGACAACCCUACAACAGAUGUAUCCAUCGGAUCGCCAUCAAUGAUGGUGAU
Molecule: long non-coding RNA, 218 nt
Filed under: Mytilus galloprovincialis (Mediterranean mussel)
Lineage: Eukaryota; Metazoa; Mollusca; Bivalvia; Mytilida; Mytilidae
Source: RNAcentral